GACGUAGGUGGCCAGCGUUGUUCGGAAUCACUGGGCAUAAAGCGCACGUAGGCGGCUUUCAAAGUCGGGUGUGAAAUCCCUCGGCUCAACCGAGGAACUGCGCCCGAAACUAGGAGGCUUGAGGUUCGGAGGGGAAGGUGGAAUUCCCGGUGGAGCGGUGAAAUGCGUAGAGAUCGGGAAGAACGCCGGCGGCGAAAGCGACCUUCUGGCCGAAAUCUGACGCUGAGGUGCGAAAGCUAGGGGAGCAAACGGG
Molecule: ribosomal RNA, 253 nt
Filed under: uncultured bacterium
Lineage: Bacteria
Description: partial 16S ribosomal RNA
Rfam family: Bacterial small subunit ribosomal RNA
Source: RNAcentral